AGUGAACGCCGGCGGUAGGCCUAACACAUGCAAGUCGAACGGCAGCACAGUAAGAGCUUGCUCUUACGGGUGGCGAGUGGCGGACGGGUGAGGAAUACAUCGGAAUCUACUUUUUCGUGGGGGAUAACGUAGGGAAACUUACGCUAAUACCGCAUACGACCUACGGGUGAAAGCAGGGGAUCUUCGGACCUUGCGCGAUUGAAUGAGCCGAUGUCGGAUUAGCUAGUUGGCGGGGUAAAGGCCCACCAAGGCGACGAUCCGUAGCUGGUCUGAGAGGAUGAUCAGCCACACUGGAACUGAGACACGGUCCAGACUCCUACGGGAGGCAGCAGUGGGGAAUAUUGGACAAUGGGCGCAAGCCUGAUCCAGCCAUACUGCGUGGGUGAAGAAGGCCUUCGGGUUGUAAAGCCCUUUUGUUGGGAAAGAAAAGCAGCAGGUUAAUACCCCGCUGUUCUGACGGUACCCAAAGAAUAAGCACCGGCUAACUUCGUG
RNAcentral lists this ribosomal RNA (492 nucleotides) under uncultured bacterium. RNAcentral's name for it is "partial 16S ribosomal RNA". It matches the Rfam family "Bacterial small subunit ribosomal RNA", at positions 29 to 507 of the family's 1533-position model. The record is from RNAcentral.